CCUACGGGUGGCUGCAGUGAGGAAUAUUGGUCAAUGGGCGUGAGCCUGAACCAGCCAAGUCGCGUGAAGGAUGACUGCCCUACGGGUUGUAAACUUCUUUUAUAAAGGAAUAAAGUGAGGCACGUGUGCCUUUUUGUAUGUACUUUAUGACUAAGGAUCGGCUAACUCCGUUCCAGCAGCCGCGGUAAUACGGAGGAUCCGCGCGUUCUCCGGAUUUAUUGGGUUUAAAGGGAGCGUAGAUGGGUUGUUAAGUCAGUUGUGAAAGUUUGCGGCUCAACCGUACAAUUGCACUUGAGACUGGGAGGCUUGAGUACAGUUGAGGUAGGCGGAAUUCGUGGUGUAGCGGUGAAAUGCUUAGAUAUUGCGCAGAACUCCGAUUGCGAAGGCAGCAUACCGGCG
RNAcentral lists this ribosomal RNA (399 nucleotides) under uncultured bacterium. Its description in RNAcentral is "partial 16S ribosomal RNA". It matches the Rfam family "Bacterial small subunit ribosomal RNA", at positions 338 to 734 of the family's 1533-position model. The record is from RNAcentral.